GAAUCAACAAAUAAAAAGUGAUCAACUAUUAGUAUUAAGUAAUACGAGAGUUAUAUUUAUUUAAUACAUUACUCUGAGUGAUUCAUCAUCAUCGAAGCAUCUACACACACAUUCUAACUGCCGUAGCGGAUCGACUCGAACCAGGAACGAGACAAAACGUGAAUAAAGAACUGACAGGACGACAGAUGGUCUCCGUCUAUUGUCAGGUGGGUUCGUCGACUGUCCAGGGGCUUGGCGGACGAAUACACGUCCCUACAAGCGUAGCAGUCGAUAUUGGGAGUUUAAGGGCAAUAAUAAGAAU
Long non-coding RNA from Hylaeus volcanicus, 301 nucleotides. RefSeq lists it as uncharacterized. Lineage: Eukaryota; Metazoa; Arthropoda; Insecta; Hymenoptera; Colletidae. The record is from RefSeq and is a predicted model, not a curated record. The transcript is spliced from 3 exons.